GCGCACCGUCGAGAAAACUGGCCAAUGCGCGAAAGCGUGAGCCGGCUAAUCUGAGUGGUUCCCCAUCGGGAACCUUUUGCCAAGUGUACUAAAGCGUUAGGCGAAUAAGGAGAGGGCAAGACGUAGGUGCCAGCCGCCGCGGUAAAACCAGCUCUUCGAAUCGUGGGCAUGAUUAUUUAGGCUUAAAAGUGUGCGUAGCAGGACAGGAUAAGUCUCCUGUGAAAUGCCAGGUCUUAAGCCUGGCGCGUGCGGGAGAUACUAUCCGUCUUGGGACC
Molecule: ribosomal RNA, 275 nt
Filed under: uncultured microorganism
Description: partial 16S ribosomal RNA
Rfam family: Archaeal small subunit ribosomal RNA
Source: RNAcentral